AGAACAUUCAGAUCAAUGACCUGAAUAAAGCAGAUCGAUCAUUCACCGUGGGACGGCUGCACCCUGUGAAGCAGAUCAAAUUUACAAAAUCUGUAGCAUUAUUGGCACUCCAAAAUCAUUAUAAGGACUCCAGCUUGCAGCAUCUAUCCAUUUUUUCCUCGGGAAAUAAUACAGAUAUUACUGCCUUGAUUGAUCUGGUGUGGACAUGACUUAAGAUGGUAUGGCGUACCUUGCUCUCGUUCAUGAUUUGGAGUCUCCGCCUUUUUUUGUUGACGGGCGAUCCGCUGCUUGUGUAGGUCUUUAAAUGGGGUAUGCCCAUCCGGCGGAGAUUCUGAUGAAUUCUCUUGAUAUAUCAUCUGCUAGGAGUAUUGAGAGCCACGUAU
Long non-coding RNA from Lolium rigidum, 383 nucleotides. RefSeq lists it as uncharacterized. The record is from RefSeq and is a predicted model, not a curated record. NCBI's taxonomy places the organism in Eukaryota, Viridiplantae, Streptophyta, Magnoliopsida, Poales, Poaceae. The transcript has 4 exons.